Molecule: ribosomal RNA, 253 nt
Filed under: uncultured bacterium
Lineage: Bacteria
Description: partial 16S ribosomal RNA
Rfam family: Bacterial small subunit ribosomal RNA
Source: RNAcentral
UACGUAGGGCGCAAGCGUUAUCCGGAAUUAUUGGGCGUAAAGAGCUCGUAGGCGGCUUGUCGCGUCGACUGUGAAAUCCCGCGGCUCAACUGCGGGUCUGCAGUCGAUACGGGCAGGCUAGAGUUCGGUAGGGGAGACUGGAAUUCCUGGUGUAGCGGUGAAAUGCGCAGAUAUCAGGAAGAACACCCGUGGCUAAGGCGGCUCUCUAGUACGGUACUGACGCUGAGACGCGAAAGCGUGGGGAGCGAACAGG